CUCUUCUCUCACGUCCCACUCCCCUCUCCCACAGCGGCGGCACAACCAAGCCCAGCCACGAGUUCCACCACCAACAGCAACCACUUCUCCUCCUCCCUUUAUUGUUGGAGGCAACGUCAUCGAGUAACCUUUCUAGUUGAUAGCUGCAAAUCGAUCACGGCUCUUUGAAGCGUCUUGCUGCUUGUCUACAGAUCGGAACCAGUCGGGAAUAAUGUAUUAGCGGAGGUGAAUAGAGUUUCCAAGGAUGUUAAUUGAGCUGAGUACUUAGGAAUUAUAGAUUUGUAUUAGGAAUUUUGGAUAAAUGUAAAUUUGUUUUGGUUGUGCUGGUUAUAUCGGACUUGUAGAGAAUUGUAUGAUUAUCUUGUGUAAUAGUUAGAUGUUGGUUUUGGGAUUUAGCUGAGUUAGUCACGUUGAAGAGCUUGUGACCCCUUUCCUUGAGUUUUGGAAGUGAGAUUUCAAUUUCUUGGGAAACGAACCCAGUGAUGACCCUGUUUACCCAGUCAACGGUAAGUCGGGUUGUUACAGUUUUCCCUUCAGAUUUGCAAUUUCGUCUCUA
Long non-coding RNA from Amaranthus tricolor (Joseph's coat), 556 nucleotides. RefSeq lists it as uncharacterized. NCBI's taxonomy places the organism in Eukaryota, Viridiplantae, Streptophyta, Magnoliopsida, Caryophyllales, Amaranthaceae. The record is from RefSeq and is a predicted model, not a curated record. The transcript is spliced from 3 exons.